Molecule: ribosomal RNA, 324 nt
Filed under: uncultured eukaryote
Lineage: Eukaryota
Description: partial 18S ribosomal RNA
Rfam family: Eukaryotic small subunit ribosomal RNA
Source: RNAcentral
CCCUUAGGUGUUCUGGGCUGCACGCGCGCUACACUGAUGCGAUCAACAAGUUUUUCCUAUGUCGAUAGACACGGGUAAUCUUUUGAACUCGCAUCGUGAUGGGGAUAGAUUAUUGUAAUUAUUAAUCUUCAACGAGGAAUUCCUAGUAGGUGCAAAUCAUCAGUUUGCAUCGAUUACGUCCCUGCCCUUUGUACACACCGCCCGUCGCUGCUACCGAUUGGUUGAUCUGGUGAAUUAUUCGGACUGCCGGCUGAAGGGGUUUCCUCAUCUGCCAGCGGAAAGUCUUGUUAACCCUAUCAACUAGAGGAAGCAGAAGUCGUAACA